UGCAUUAUCAAACCAUGUAAGAGAAAUAACUUUUGAUGAUAAAGUUUUGUGGAAAAAAGCUAUAAAAUUUGACUUGAUCUCAAGAAUUCUCCAUUGAUCAAGGAUGAACAAGCUUAAGAAAGUCAUAGUCGGCAAGAUCACACCCUUUUUGGACAGGUAUCAAAUGUUUAGAGAAAUAAGGAGUCGAGUGAUGAUACCAGAGCAAAAAAUAGUACAAGGAUCAAACAAAGGCAAGAAAGAAAUUAGCAGGGUAAAAAAAAGGACUAGUCUCCUCUCUCUCUCUCUCUCUCUCUGAAAAUGAUAAAAACUUAUUGUGAUGUCGAUUACAAGCAUAAAAUCUUUCGACCCCAUCCCUGUGAGGGUGCUGCUGCUGCUGCGUGUGGACCAGACCACGUUAAUGGAAAAUAGAUUUCAGAACUUCCUUAUAUUUACUGUCCUAACUUUUUGAAACAAUCUAAUGUAAUUCCCUGUCCCAAGUUUUCUAUACAUCAAGGUGUAUUUGGCUUUCUUGUAGUUUCUGUGAUUGCGGAAAAGAUUGCGGUCUGUCUUCAUUAAACAUACACUUUUAAAUCUAAAUCUAUGAUUAUGCAAAA
Populus trichocarpa (black cottonwood) is the source of this 593-nucleotide long non-coding RNA. RefSeq lists it as uncharacterized. Lineage: Eukaryota; Viridiplantae; Streptophyta; Magnoliopsida; Malpighiales; Salicaceae. The record is from RefSeq and is a predicted model, not a curated record. The transcript is spliced from 2 exons.